AAAAGAAACCAACAGGGAUUGCCUCAGUAGCGGCGAGUGAAGCGGCAAAAGCUCAAAUUUGAAAUCUGGCGUCUUUGGCGUCCGAGUUGUAAUUUGAAGAAGGUAUCUUUGGGCCCGGCUCUUGUCUAUGUUCCUUGGAACAGGACGUCACAGAGGGUGAGAAUCCCGUGCGAUGAGAUGACCCGGGUCUGUGUAAAGUUCCUUCGACGAGUCGAGUUGUUUGGGAAUGCAGCUCUAAGUGGGUGGUAAAUUCCAUCUAAAGCUAAAUAUUGGCGAGAGACCGAUAGCGAACAAGUACAGUGAUGGAAAGAUGAAAAGAACUUUGAAAAGAGAGUGAAAAAGUACGUGAAAUUGUUGAAAGGGAAGGGCUUGAGAUCAGACUUGGUAUUUUGCAUGUUGCUCUCUCGGGGGCGGCCGCUGCGGUUUACCGGGCCAGCAUCGGUUUGGAGCGGCAGGAUAAUGGCGGAGGAAUGUGGCACGGCUUCUGCUGUGUGUUAUAGCCUCUGACGAUACUGCCAGCCUAGACCGAGGACUGCGGUUUUUACCUAGGAUGUUGGCAUAAUGAUCUUAAGU
This 573-nucleotide ribosomal RNA is filed under the name Candida albicans. Its description in RNAcentral is "partial large subunit ribosomal RNA". It matches the Rfam family "Eukaryotic large subunit ribosomal RNA", at positions 57 to 645 of the family's 3401-position model. Lineage: Eukaryota; Fungi; Ascomycota; Pichiomycetes; Serinales; Debaryomycetaceae. The record is from RNAcentral.